UGGGGAAUAUUGCACAAUGGGCGCAAGCCUGAUGCAGCGACGCCGCGUGAGGGAUGGAGGCCUUCGGGUUGUAAACCUCUUUUAUCGGGGAGCAAGCGAGAGUGAGUUUACCCGUUGAAUAAGCACCGGCUAACUACGUGCCAGCAGCCGCGGUAAUACGUAGGGUGCAAGCGUUAUCCGGAAUUAUUGGGCGUAAAGGGCUCGUAGGCGGUUCGUCGCGUCCGGUGUGAAAGUCCAUCGCUUAACGGUGGAUCCGCGCCGGGUACGGGCGGGCUUGAGUGCGGUAGGGGAGACUGGAAUUCCCGGUGUAACGGUGGAAUGUGUAGAUAUCGGGAAGAACACCAAUGGCGAAGGCAGGUCUCUGGGCCGUUACUGACGCUGAGGAGCGAAAGCGUGGGGAGCGAACA
RNAcentral lists this ribosomal RNA (407 nucleotides) under uncultured bacterium. RNAcentral describes it as "bacterial SSU rRNA". It matches the Rfam family "Bacterial small subunit ribosomal RNA", at positions 355 to 774 of the family's 1533-position model. RNAcentral also lists the same sequence under 2 other names. The record is from RNAcentral.